ACGCUCGACACCUACGGGAGGCGGCAGUGGGGAAUAUUGCACAAUGGGGGAAACCCUGAUGCAGCGACGCCGCGUGAGCGAAGAAGUAUUUCGGUAUGUAAAGCUCUAUCAGCAGGGAAGAAACUGACGGUACCUGACUAAGAAGCACCGGCUAAAUACGUGCCAGCAGCCGCAGUAAUCUGAGCGGGCUGGCAAGGC
Molecule: ribosomal RNA, 198 nt
Filed under: uncultured bacterium
Lineage: Bacteria
Description: partial 16S ribosomal RNA
Rfam family: Bacterial small subunit ribosomal RNA
Source: RNAcentral